This 433-nucleotide ribosomal RNA is filed under the name uncultured bacterium. RNAcentral describes it as "partial 16S ribosomal RNA". It matches the Rfam family "Bacterial small subunit ribosomal RNA", at positions 29 to 507 of the family's 1533-position model. The record is from RNAcentral.
AACGAACGCUGGCGGCAGGCCUAACACAUGCAAGUCGAGCGGACCUUUCGGGGUCAGCGGCGGACGGGUGAGUAACGCGUGGGAAUAUGCCCUUCUCUACGGAAUAGUCCUGGGAAACUGGGGGUAAUACCGUAUACGCCCUUUGGGGGAAAGAUUUAUCGGGGAAGGAUUAGCCCGCGUUGGAUUAGGUAGUUGGUGGGGUAAUGGCCUACCAAGCCGACGAUCCAUAGCUGGUUUGAGAGGAUGAUCAGCCACACUGGGACUGAGACACGGCCCAGACUCCUACGGGAGGCAGCAGUGGGGAAUCUUAGACAAUGGGGGCAACCCUGAUAUAGCCAUGCCGCGUGAGUGAUGAAGGCCUUAGGGUUGUAAAGCUCUUUCAGCUGGGAAGAUAAUGACGGUACCAGCAGAAGAAGCCCCGGCUAACUCCGUG